Molecule: small nuclear RNA, 191 nt
Filed under: Leptobrachium leishanense (Leishan spiny toad)
Lineage: Eukaryota; Metazoa; Chordata; Amphibia; Anura; Megophryidae
Description: U2 spliceosomal RNA (ENSLLEG00000030223.1)
Rfam family: U2 spliceosomal RNA
About the family: U2 is a small nuclear RNA (snRNA) component of the spliceosome (involved in pre-mRNA splicing). Complementary binding between U2 snRNA (in an area lying towards the 5' end but 3' to hairpin I) and the branchpoint sequence (BPS) of the intron results the bulging out of an unpaired adenosine, on the BPS, which initiates a nucleophilic attack at the intronic 5' splice site, thus starting the first of two transesterification reactions that mediate splicing.
Source: Rfam by way of RNAcentral
AUCGCUUCUCGGCAUUUUGCCUAAGAUCAAGUGUAGUAUCUGUUCUUAUCAGUUUAAUAUCUGAUACGCCCCCUAUCUGGGGGCCAUAUAUUAAAUGGAUUUUUAGAACAGGGAGAAGGAAGAAGAGCUUACUCUGUCCACGCCACACAUUGACCUGGCAUCGCAGUACCUCCAGGAUCGGUGCACAAAAA